Long non-coding RNA from Ictalurus punctatus (channel catfish), 849 nucleotides. The record is from Ensembl. NCBI's taxonomy places the organism in Eukaryota, Metazoa, Chordata, Actinopteri, Siluriformes, Ictaluridae.
GCAUUUCUGAUGUGAAAAGAUUCACCAUCACAAACACACAAAACCAUAAAUUAAUUUCCUUUGCAUUUACAGAUGAAAUAGAAAUAAAAAAGAGAAGUGUCACAAAAACAAGAAACAGAAAAUUAAGUGACCUUCGACCCAGAAAACCAGGAAGCCGAUGGAGUAAUCCAUUAGAUUUACCAAACAUGUGAAGACAGAGCUCAAGACAGAGCAACAGCAGGACAGAGAAUAGAGGAGGAUCACAGUGACGGACAUUAGAGAGCAUUUACACACAGAGAAACGAUCAUUCUGUUUAUAUAUUUAUAUAUAUAUAUAUAAAACUAGCCUAGCGUCCUGUCUAGAUUAGUGUUGUUAUCGUCAGUAAUGAGGGUGAACUACAGAUUGGUGGAACUCUGGCGACGAGGAGGAUGUUUGUCUUCGCUGUAGCUUUUGGAGGCGGAAAAUGGAGAGAAUUUGAGCUGCUCAUGUGAUGUGACUGUAUGCAGAUACAGUUAUAGAAGGACGUCGCAUCAUGUCCUGGUCAAUGUCCCAAAAAUACACAGGCUGUUAUUUUAUACUUAUAACAACGCUGAAAUAUUUUCCAUUCAGCAUGGUGUAACAUGUCUCCUCAUACUGACUCACAAACCAGACUUGCUUUUUACCAGAACUUUGCCCUUUUUUGUUGCUUGAUAAAGGGAAGUGAUAGCUCAGAGGUUAAGACGUUGGACUUCUGAUCGGAAGCGUGUGAGUUCAAAUCCCAGCUCAAAUCCCGAGCUGCCACUGUUGGGCCCUUGAGCAAGACCCUGCUAAAUGCUGUACUGUAAUGUAAUGUCAUGAUUGUUCAGCUCAGCUCUUUUCUGAAAAGUGAAA